UCAGUGCAUUCUGUUGAUGUAGACAGCGUGAAAACGGAAACAACAAGUAUGCCGGCUCACUGUGCUGCAUACAGUUACACACUACGUCGUACGAUUGAGACAAGGAAACUUGGAAUGACUUUUCAUAGGUUUCCCAGAGACUAUGGGUUGAGGAGGAACUGGAAGUUUGUCGGCUUAGACCUGGUGUCAUUCCAUCAGUGUUAAACUUCCCGGCUCAUCUUGGAAGAGUACGUGCCAGAAAGACCACGACCAAGCAGCCUUGAGAUCUUAGGCAGCGUCUCCCUGAGGUCCCUCUCUAUCUCCCUACACAUCCACCAACCACUGGAACACAUCUCCAAAGUUCUGCUGGACCAGCUCAGCUUCCCCUCAGAAGAAGUGCCACCACCUGCCAGAUGAAGGAGCCUUUUGAGAGGCAGCUGGCAUCGUGAUUGGACUGUACUUUGGUCUGUUCCAAUCCAGCUUCAGCUCCAGAGACGGCAGGCGGGACGAGUCAACGGAGGCCGGAUGGAUGAAGGCAUGCAGCUGAGUACAAUCCACAAAACAACAGAGGAGGAGUGAAGCAGCCCAGUAUAGCCUUCGACCAAAGAACUACAGACUCUUCACAACCUGCUCAAACUCUUGGUACAGGACCUCACCACACGGGUCAAGAAGGUUUCUGUCUCAUUUCUACUCUGAAGCUCACCUUCUCCUGCUCAAACUGCUGACAAAUGUUUCUGCUGCUCUAAAGUCUGGUCUCCAGAACUUCCUAAAAACUCUCAAAGUCUCUUCUGCUGCAGGUUGCUUUGUAGAACUGUUGCAGAAAACCUCACUAAACCACAUGGAGGGGCCUCAAGAUAGUCGUCCAAAUGAAACCAUACAAAAACCAAACUAGCACAACCCAAACACUAAAGUCUCCUGCAGCCUACCAGAGAACCUCUGAGAACAGAGAAUCAGGACAGGAACUCUUACCUUCUGGACAACCAACGCUGGUUCUCAAACAAGAAU
Molecule: long non-coding RNA, 984 nt
Organism: Amphiprion ocellaris (clown anemonefish)
Lineage: Eukaryota; Metazoa; Chordata; Actinopteri; Pomacentridae
Source: Ensembl